CAAAGUUCGAAAUUUGCGGCCAACAGUUAUCAUCUUUGUGACUUUUCUUUUUCUAUCACAUUCAAACUAACCUACCGGAGAAUUUCGAUGAUUAUCUCUAUGGCUACUUCUUAUUUUUCAUAACAUUCAAACUCAUCAUCGUUUCUAUAAACCAUUCAAACCCCACCACCGUUCGAAGUUGUUUGGUUUGUUCACCGUCACACUCCGGGGUGACAGCACGCCGCACAACCUACCGCCAAGAGCCGUUUGCCACCGUAGCACCACCAUCGGCCGCCGCGAAUCAGUUGUGCCACCGCAAUCAUCUGCCAUCACACCGCUACUUUGCUCCUUCGUUAUAGUUUCAUGGUCGUCGCCAUCAGUUCUGACUCACGAGCAGCCACAACAAAUCGUUAGUUACCACCACCGCGUUACGCGUAUUCCGUUCAGCAAUAGCGGGUUGAUCGCAACCAGCGCCGCCCUUAAUCUGUUUGGUUCAUUCGAUUAUAAGAGGUUCUUGAUUUUCGAGAUCGAGUUGAUUAAUUGGUCUUGCUUGCUUGCUAAAAGGUAAUUUGGGAAACGUGGGGAAUAAGUGAAGAGUGUCCUGAAGAUAAAGAUUUAUUUUUAUUUCGGUUAUGUAAUGUAAAUGUAAUUAGGAUCUUUUGUUUUUAACGUUAUGGAUCGGUUCUUAGUUUUGAUAUCUGUAUGAGUGACACGUCAGCCUGUCCAGGUUGGGGUGUUACACCACAACCACACCUGUGACUCCCUUGACAAUGAGCUCACUCAUGCCCUUUUAUGCCAUCUUGGAUUAGUGUUUCGCUC
Long non-coding RNA from Helianthus annuus (common sunflower), 798 nucleotides. RefSeq lists it as uncharacterized. The record is from RefSeq and is a predicted model, not a curated record. The transcript has 3 exons. Lineage: Eukaryota; Viridiplantae; Streptophyta; Magnoliopsida; Asterales; Asteraceae.